RNAcentral lists this ribosomal RNA (484 nucleotides) under Escherichia coli. RNAcentral's name for it is "bacterial SSU rRNA". It matches the Rfam family "Bacterial small subunit ribosomal RNA", at positions 907 to 1391 of the family's 1533-position model. RNAcentral also lists the same sequence under 3 other names. The record is from RNAcentral. Lineage: Bacteria; Pseudomonadati; Pseudomonadota; Gammaproteobacteria; Enterobacterales; Enterobacteriaceae.
GAAUUGACGGGGGCCCGCACAAGCGGUGGAGCAUGUGGUUUAAUUCGAUGCAACGCGAAGAACCUUACCUGGUCUUGACAUCCACGGAAGUUUUCAGAGAUGAGAAUGUGCCUUCGGGAACCGUGAGACAGGUGCUGCAUGGCUGUCGUCAGCUCGUGUUGUGAAAUGUUGGGUUAAGUCCCGCAACGAGCGCAACCCUUAUCCUUUGUUGCCAGCGGUCCGGCCGGGAACUCAAAGGAGACUGCCAGUGAUAAACUGGAGGAAGGUGGGGAUGACGUCAAGUCAUCAUGGCCCUUACGACCAGGGCUACACACGUGCUACAAUGGCGCAUACAAAGAGAAGCGACCUCGCGAGAGCAAGCGGACCUCAUAAAGUGCGUCGUAGUCCGGAUUGGAGUCUGCAACUCGACUCCAUGAAGUCGGAAUCGCUAGUAAUCGUGGAUCAGAAUGCCACGGUGAAUACGUUCCCGGGCCUUGUACACACC